This 19-nucleotide small nuclear RNA is filed under the name Arabidopsis thaliana (thale cress). RNAcentral's name for it is "snRNA_13329". Lineage: Eukaryota; Viridiplantae; Streptophyta; Magnoliopsida; Brassicales; Brassicaceae. The record is from RNAcentral.
GGGCGGAGGACAUUGUCAG